CCGUUAGAUGUUCUGGGCCGCACGCGUGCUACACUGAGUGGAUCAGCGGGUCAGGUUGCGCGAAAGCGUUUCCUAAUCUUUAAAUCCGCUCGUGAUGGGGAUUGACGGUUGCAAUUUUCUGUCAUGAACGAGGAAUACCUUGUAAGCGCGGGUCAUCAUCCCGCGCUGAAUACGUCCCUGCCCUUUGUACACACCGCCCGUCGCUCCUACCGAUUGAGUGGUCCGGUGAGGCUUUGGGAUCUGAGCGGAAAGAGCGUUUCGCUGUUUCUGCUCGGAAAACUCAGUCGAACCUUAUCAUUUAGAGGAAGGAGAAGUCGUAACA
RNAcentral lists this ribosomal RNA (322 nucleotides) under uncultured eukaryote. Its description in RNAcentral is "partial 18S ribosomal RNA". It matches the Rfam family "Eukaryotic small subunit ribosomal RNA", at positions 1470 to 1796 of the family's 1831-position model. The record is from RNAcentral.